Molecule: ribosomal RNA, 253 nt
Filed under: uncultured bacterium
Lineage: Bacteria
Description: partial 16S ribosomal RNA
Rfam family: Bacterial small subunit ribosomal RNA
Source: RNAcentral
CACGUAGGGUGCGAGCGUUGUCCGGAAUUAUUGGGCGUAAAGAGCGCGUAGGCGGUCUGAUAAGUCGGUUGUGAAAGUCGGGGGCUCAACCCUCGGAUGCCGAUCGAUACUGUCAGGCUAGAGUCCGGAAGAGGCGAGUGGAAUUCCUGGUGUAGCGGUGAAAUGCGCAGAUAUCAGGAGGAACACCAAUGGCGAAGGCAGCUCGCUGGGACGGUACUGACGCUAAGGCGCGAAAGCGUGGGGAGCGAACAGG